Camelus ferus (Wild Bactrian camel) is the source of this 73-nucleotide transfer RNA. It matches the Rfam family "tRNA". From Rfam's summary of the family: Transfer RNA (tRNA) molecules are approximately 80 nucleotides in length. Their secondary structure includes four short double-helical elements and three loops (D, anti-codon, and T loops). NCBI's taxonomy places the organism in Eukaryota, Metazoa, Chordata, Mammalia, Artiodactyla, Camelidae. The record is from Rfam.
GAGGGGAUAGCUCAAGUGGCAGAGCAUAUGCUUAGCAUGCAUGAGGUCCUGGGUUCCAUCCCCAGUACCUCCU